Molecule: ribosomal RNA, 89 nt
Filed under: Sphingobacterium arenae
Lineage: Bacteria; Pseudomonadati; Bacteroidota; Sphingobacteriia; Sphingobacteriales; Sphingobacteriaceae
Source: RNAcentral
CUACCUCUUCCCAUUCCGAACAGAGCAGUCAAGCCCGCCAGAGCCGAUGGUACUGCCGUAACAGGUGGGAGAGUAGGUCGGUGCCGAUC